Non-coding RNA from Salmo salar (Atlantic salmon), 979 nucleotides. The record is from RefSeq and is a predicted model, not a curated record. Lineage: Eukaryota; Metazoa; Chordata; Actinopteri; Salmoniformes; Salmonidae.
UGUAUAUAUGUCACUUAUAUAUAUAUUUUUUAAAGUCUACAAAAGCUCUACAUUUAUUCCCUUUGUGAUAGAGUUGGAUCCUAUUUGCUACUUUUAUUAUUGUCCUGUAAAUGGUUCAGAUCCUAUAAUUUAGGCUGUGUGUAGAAUGGGGAAUAAAGGAAAUUACCUCUACUAAUAAAUUACUACUAGAUUAUACUGAUAAGGAAAACAGCAUACAAAUUUGGCCUGUGUAUUCAUUUGCCUAUAACUAAUCAUAAUUCCAUUAUUUUUACAUAAAAAAAGAGAAUACUUCAAAAUGAGAAGAUCCUGCCAUGGAAAAGACAACUGGGCAGACAUAAAGUGGAAAGGAGGGGAAAUAACUCACACCAUGCAGCAGGACACCUUCAGCUGUGGGGUCUUUGUAAUGCAGGUUUGAUAGUUAUAUUUUCAAUAAUGAAUGGUUAGCUGUUAUGUGAAAAUUAGGUCAAAAACUCUAUUUUAUUUUUUGGUGUAGAUGGCCAAGGAAGUUGCAGAGAACUUCCCCAACACCCCCUCCCAAAUUGAUAUGGAACCUUCAAAAACGUAGUCCAUUUGCACCUGCGAAAAGAAAUGGCUGAGGAUAUACUAAAAAUGUCUGGUAUGUAAUGACAUUUAAUUAAAAGUAAAUGUAAAUUAUUUAUUUGUAUGUAGUUGUAUGGGACAGCCAUAUGUUCAGUUCAUGCCUAUGAUUUCAGAGUUCAACAAAGCCAACAACUGCUUCAUGUGUGCCACUGAUAAAGAACCUGGAUGUGGCCCAAAGCUGACUGGAUUGAAUGUUUUGCAUGCCAACGGUGGUUCCAUGUGCUGUGCCUAGGAAUGAAGACAAAAUAGUUCAACAAAGUAAAGAACACAAACUGGAAGUGCUGUCUUUGUUGUUGAAAAUGUAUGCUAUACCCCAUCCACACUGAAGAGGCUCUGAAAUGUACAUCAACCAGGGAUAAAGAGAAAGUUAACACUGAAA